AGCUCCAAUAGCGUAUAUUAAAGUUGUUGCAGUUAAAAAGUUCGUAGUCGAAUUUUGGGUCUGGUGGAGUGCGGUCCGCUUGAUUGCGUUGUACUGUCCCGCCGGGCCUUUACCUCCUGUGUGAACUGGGGGUGGGUGCCGGACGACGACGGCCCCGCUCUUGGGGAACCGGGACAAUUACCUUGAGGAAAUCAGAGUGUUCAAAGCAGGCUUCAGGCUCGAAUGUAUUAGCAUGGGAUAAUGGAAUAGGACGUGCGGUCCGUGUUUCGUUGGUUUUGGGAUUCGCCGUAAUGAUUAAUAGGAACAGUCGGGGGCAUUCGUACUCAGCCGCUAGAGGUGAAAUUCUUGGAUUGGCUGAAGACGGACUACUGCGAAAGCAUCUGCCAAGGAUGUUUUCA
RNAcentral lists this ribosomal RNA (398 nucleotides) under uncultured eukaryote. RNAcentral describes it as "SSU rRNA". It matches the Rfam family "Eukaryotic small subunit ribosomal RNA", at positions 587 to 972 of the family's 1831-position model. The record is from RNAcentral.